RNAcentral lists this ribosomal RNA (365 nucleotides) under uncultured Bacteroidales bacterium. RNAcentral describes it as "bacterial SSU rRNA". It matches the Rfam family "Bacterial small subunit ribosomal RNA", at positions 529 to 896 of the family's 1533-position model. The record is from RNAcentral. Lineage: Bacteria; Pseudomonadati; Bacteroidota; Bacteroidia; Bacteroidales.
AAGGUCCGGGCGUUAUCCGGAUUUAUUGGGUUUAAAGGGAGCGUAGGCCGGUCUUUAAGCGUGCCGUGAAAUUUUGUGGCUCAACCAUGAGAGUGCGGCGCGAACUGGAGACCUUGAGUGCGCGGAAGGCAGGCGGAAUUCGUGGUGUAGCGGUGAAAUGCUUAGAUAUCACGAAGAACCCCGAUUGCGAAGGCAGCCUGCCGCAGCGUUACUGACGCUGAAGCUCGAAAGCGCGGGUAUCGAACAGGAUUAGAUACCCUGGUAGUCCGCGCGGUAAACGAUGGAUGCCCGCUGUCGGCGAUAUACAGUCGGCGGCCAAGCGAAAGCGUUAAGCAUCCCACCUGGGGAGUACGCCGGCAACGGUG